GUCCCCAGAAGGCGGGUGCCUUUGCUCCGCUGUUCCCUGAUUGAUGUAUUCCAAGCACUUAGACCUACACACGUCAGGUCUUAGAUGCUGAACCAGUUUCUGUUGACUUAAACAAAUGGCCUGUUCUGGGUCUUACAGGUUGUGAACAACAGCCCUGGAUCCUGAGCUGAGGUCUGCGAUCGCUAAAGCCCAGAAAGUCUGUCUUUUACCAAUGCCGUAACACAACCAGCAUAAUAAUGCUCCACUCACAUUGCCUUAUUCAUCGAGAGGUGGAUGGCGACACCUACUGAGGUGUCCCACCGCUGGCUGCUCCUCAGUACCCAAGUCUAGCGCAAUCCUUGCUCCCUGAAAUUGUACCUUGAUCCACUCAGCUAAAUCUGUGAAAAGCCCUCGGCAUCCUUCUCACCCAAGCACCC
This 416-nucleotide long non-coding RNA is filed under the name Fukomys damarensis (Damara mole-rat). RNAcentral describes it as "lncRNA (ENSFDAG00000023007.1)". Lineage: Eukaryota; Metazoa; Chordata; Mammalia; Rodentia; Bathyergidae. The record is from RNAcentral.